This 805-nucleotide ribosomal RNA is filed under the name Kirschsteiniothelia sp. RNAcentral describes it as "partial large subunit ribosomal RNA". Lineage: Eukaryota; Fungi; Ascomycota; Dothideomycetes; Kirschsteiniotheliales; Kirschsteiniotheliaceae. The record is from RNAcentral.
AGCCCAAAUUUGAAAUCUGGCCCCCCGGGUCCGAGUUGUAAUUUGCAGAGGAUGCCUCGGCGUAAGCCCCGAUCGAAGUUCCUUGGAACAGUGACAUCGUAGAGGGUGAGAAUCCCGUCCGUGGUCGGUGGYGGCUGCCGUGUGAGGCUCCUUCGACGAGUCGAGUUGUUUGGGAAUGCAGCUCUAAAUGGGAGGUAAAUUUCUUCCAAGGCUAAAUAUCAGCCAGAGACCGAUAGCGCACAAGUAGAGUGAUCGAAAGGUGAAAAGCACUUUGAAAAGAGGGUUAAACAGCACGUGAAAUUGUUGAAAGGGAAGCGCUUGCAACCAGAGUUGCCCGGGCGGUUCAGCCGACCUUCUGGCUCGGUGUACUUCCGUCCGGGCAGGCCAGCAUCAGUUCGGCCGGCCGGAUAAAGGCCGUGGGAAUGUGGCACCCUCGGGUGUGUUAUAGCCCGCGGCACAAUACGGCCUGGCUGGACUGAGGUCCGCGCCUCGGCAAGGAUGCUGGCGUAAUGGUUGUCAGCGGCCCGUCUUGAAACACGGACCAAGGAGUCUAACAUCUGUGCGAGUGUUCGGGUGUCAAACCCGUGAGCGUAAUGAAAGUGAACGGAGGUGGGAGCCCUCGGGCGCACCAUCGACCGAUCCUGAUGUCCUCGGAUGGAUUUGAGUAUGAGCAUAGCUGUUGGGACCCGAAAGAUGGUGAACUAUGCGUGAAUAGGGUGAAGCCAGAGGAAACUCUGGUGGAGGCUCGCAGCGGUUCUGACGUGCAAAUCGAUCGUCAAAUUUGCGCAUAGGGGCGAAAGACUAA